UACGUAGGCAGCGAGCGUUGUUCGGAGUUACUGGGCGUAAAGAGUGCGUAGGCGGUUUUCUAAGUUUGGUGUGAAAUCUCCCGGCUUAACUGGGAGGGUGCGCCGAAAACUGGAAGGCUUGAGUAUGGGAGAGGUAAGCGGAAUUCCUGGUGUAGCGGUGAAAUGCGUGGAUAUCAGGAGGAACACCGAUGGCGAAGGCAGAUCUCUGGGCCGUAACUGACGCUGAGGAGCGAAAGCAUGGGGAGCGAACAGG
This 253-nucleotide ribosomal RNA is filed under the name uncultured bacterium. RNAcentral describes it as "partial 16S ribosomal RNA". It matches the Rfam family "Bacterial small subunit ribosomal RNA", at positions 524 to 776 of the family's 1533-position model. The record is from RNAcentral.